This 478-nucleotide ribosomal RNA is filed under the name uncultured bacterium. RNAcentral describes it as "partial 16S ribosomal RNA". It matches the Rfam family "Bacterial small subunit ribosomal RNA", at positions 28 to 507 of the family's 1533-position model. The record is from RNAcentral.
GAUGAACGCUGGCGGCGUGCUUAACACAUGCAAGUCGAACGGGAAACCUUUUAAUGCAGCUUCGGCAGAUUUAGCUGGUUUCUAGUGGCGGACGGGUGAGUAACGCGUGGGUAACCUGCCUUAUACAGGGGGAUAACAGUCAGAAAUGACUGCUAAUACCGCAUAAGCGCACAGGACCGCAUGGUCCGGUGUGAAAAACUCCGGUGGUAUAAGAUGGACCCGCGUUGGAUUAGCUUGUUGGUGGGGUAACGGCUCACCAAGGCGACGAUCCAUAGCCGGCGUGAGAGGGGGAACGGCCACAUUGGGACUGAGACACGGCCCAGACUCCUACGAGAGGCAGCAGUGGGGAAUAUUGCACAAUGAGGGAAACCCUGAUGCAGCGACGCCGCGUGAAGGAAGAAGUAGCUCGGUAUGUAAACUUCUAUCAGCAGAGAAGAUAGUGACGGUACCUGACUAAGAAGCCCCGGCUAACUACGUG